GUACGGGAACCCGGGUGAAAGCCUGGGGUGCCCCGCGAGGGGAGCCCUAGCACAGGUGCUGCAUGGCCGUCGUCAGCUCGUGCCGUGAGGUGUUGGGUUAAGUCCCGCAACGAGCGCAACCCCCGCCGUUAGUUGCCAGCGGUUCGGCCGGGCACUCUAACGGGACUGCCCGCGAAAGCGGGAGGAAGGAGGGGACGACGUCUGGUCAGCAUGGCCCUUACGGCCUGGGCGACACACGUGCUACAAUGCCCACUACAAAGCGAUGCCACCCGGCAACGGGGAGCUAAUCGCAAAAGGUGGGCCCAGUUCGGAUUGGGUCUGCAACCCGACCCCAUGAAGCCGGAAUCGCUAGUAAUCGCGGAUCAGCCAUGCCGCGGUGAAUACGUUCCCGGUCCUU
Molecule: ribosomal RNA, 397 nt
Filed under: uncultured Thermus sp.
Lineage: Bacteria; Thermotogati; Deinococcota; Deinococci; Thermales; Thermaceae
Description: bacterial SSU rRNA
Rfam family: Bacterial small subunit ribosomal RNA
Source: RNAcentral